Molecule: unclassified non-coding RNA, 248 nt
Filed under: Hyaloscypha sp.
Lineage: Eukaryota; Fungi; Ascomycota; Leotiomycetes; Helotiales; Hyaloscyphaceae
Also listed under: 1 other name
Description: partial contains 5.8S ribosomal RNA, internal transcribed spacer 2, and large subunit ribosomal RNA
Rfam family: 5.8S ribosomal RNA (bases 1-52)
Source: RNAcentral
AACGCACAUUGCGCCCUUUGGUAUUCCGAAGGGCAUGCCUGUUCGAGCGUCAUUAUCAACCCUCAAGCUUGGCUUGUCAUUGGGCUCUAGUCGGUACAAGACUGGCCUAAAAGAUAAUGACGGUGUCUGUUCGACCCUAGAUGCAACGAGCUUUACAGCACGCAUCAACGGGAAUAGUGGGCCCGGUCUUUUCACCUUUUAUUUUUCAGGUUGACCUCGGAUCAGGUAGGAAUACCCGCUGAACUUAA